This is a long non-coding RNA of Vidua macroura (Pin-tailed whydah), 544 nucleotides long. RefSeq lists it as uncharacterized. NCBI's taxonomy places the organism in Eukaryota, Metazoa, Chordata, Aves, Passeriformes, Viduidae. The transcript is spliced from 4 exons. The record is from RefSeq and is a predicted model, not a curated record.
CUCUCUAAUUGUGUUUUAACAAUCACAUGCCUCCCACUCCCACCUCACUUCCAAAGGCAUCCUGCAUCUGUGCCAGCUCCAUUUCUGGGGGGAUGGACCCUGAUUCCAAACCCUGAUUCCCAACUCUGAUUCCAAACCCCGAUUCCAAACCUUCUCCUUGCUGCACCAGACAAACCCACUGUUGAUUUCCUGAAAAAAAUAUCCCUGGAGCUCAGGAUCAAUGUGGAUCCUCUAACAGCAAAUCAGGUAAAAAGAUGGGAAGUGUGAAGUUAAAAAGUGAGAAAUCCAACCUCUCAAAGAGAAGUGAAAAUGUUCAUCUCUUUAAAAGUCAAAACAAACUGCAAAACUCUUCAUUAAGUUGCAGGAAAUUGGAAGGGAGAAAAACAGCCAAAACCAGACAUGUGUUAGACAAAAAAAUAGAUAUUUCACUCAGAAGAUGCUGAGGAAAAACAAGUCUGUCAGCAGGGUUAUGUCACCUCAAAGCUGUGUGAUACCAAAACUUGAACCUGGAUUUAAGCAAAGGUUCUCAAAGAGGCCAAGUAAA